ACCCUCCUUUAGGUUUUCACUCCAACCCUGUUCCUGGAGAGCUACCCUCCUGUAGGUUUUCACUCCAACCCUGUUCCUGGAGAGCUACCCUCCUUUAGGUUUUCACUCCAACCCUGUUCCUGGAGAGCUACCCUCCUGUAGGUUUUCACUCCAACCCUGUUCCUGGAGAGCUACCCUCCUUUAGGUUUUCACUCCAACCCUGUUCCUGGAGAGCUACCCUCCUGUAGGUUUUCACUCCAACCCUGUUCCUGGAGAGCUACCCUCCUUUAGGUUUUCACUCCAACCCUGUUCCUGGAGAGCUACCCUCCUGUAGGUUUUCACUCCAACCCUGUUCCUGGAGAGCUACCCUCCUGUAGGUUUUCACUCCAACCCUGUUCCUGGAGAGCUACCCUCCUGUAGGUGUUCACUCCAACCCUGUUCCUGGAGAGCUACCCUCCUGUAGGUUUUCACUCCAACCCUGUUCCUGGAGAACUACCCUCCUUUAGGUUUUCACUCCAACCCUGUUCCUGGAGAGCUACCCUCCUGUAGGUUUUCACUCCAACCCUGUUCCUGGAGAGCUACCCUCCUGUAGGUUUCACUCCAACCCUGUUCCUGGAGAGCUACCCUCCUUUAGGUUUACACUCCA
Long non-coding RNA from Oncorhynchus keta (chum salmon), 625 nucleotides. RefSeq lists it as uncharacterized. The record is from RefSeq and is a predicted model, not a curated record. The transcript has 3 exons. NCBI's taxonomy places the organism in Eukaryota, Metazoa, Chordata, Actinopteri, Salmoniformes, Salmonidae.